GACGAACGCUGGCGGCGUGCUUAACACAUGCAAGUCGAACGCUGAAGCUUGGUUUUUGCACUGGGUGCAUGUGUGGCAAACGUGUGAGUAAUAUGAGUGUACUCCGCUUUUGUUUCUGGUAUCUUCCUGGGAAUCUGGCUCAAACCUGGUAUACGCUCCUUCACCGUAUUGUGGUUUGUGGAAAGGGUUUUAGUGGUUUUGGAUGGGCUCGCGGCCUAUCAGCUUGUUGGUGGGGUACUGGCUCACCAAGGCGCGGACGGGUAGCCGGCCUGAGAGGGUGACCGGCCACAUUGGGACUGAGAUACGGCCCAGACUCCUACGGGAGGCAGCAGUGGGGAAUAUUGCACAAUGGGCGGAAGCCUGAUGCAGCGACGCCGCGUGAGGGAUGACGGCCUUCGGGUUGUAAACCGCUUUCAGCAGGGAAGAAGCGAGAGUGACGGUACGUGCAGAAGAAGCGCCGGCUAACUACGUG
RNAcentral lists this ribosomal RNA (472 nucleotides) under uncultured bacterium. RNAcentral's name for it is "partial 16S ribosomal RNA". It matches the Rfam family "Bacterial small subunit ribosomal RNA", at positions 28 to 507 of the family's 1533-position model. The record is from RNAcentral.